GUUAAACCACAAAGUUUUGUUAACCUGAUGGCUGAACAUAGAACAUAACGACUUAUAUGGGAUUAUCACAUAACCUGGGGGUUCAAUUACAAAUUCAUCAAAGAGAUAAGAAAUCCCCAAUUUCUGCCGUGUGGCUAGGGAUUUUACACCGCCACCGGCCGGAGGGCCUGCCGCGUCGGCCAUUACUGCGCGCCGGAGGGCGCCGUUGGAGCGUGUCGCCUGCCGUGUGCCGUGGCUGAGGGCCUGAUGCCGCGGGAGUGGUCGUGUCUACUAGCAGCCAUGCCGGAGGGCGCCGUGCCUCCCGUCGCCUCCUUGAUGCCGACCAAGAGUGCUCGGGCGCCGCGUGCCUGUGCCACGACGGAGGUCCGCUCCAGUCUCCACGCCGUGCAGGCUGUCGUCUGGAGCCGGUCUAAUGUGGCUGAGGCGUCCGUGCUGCCGGCCUAGCGCGUGCCGAGGGCAGUCUUUGGAUGCGCUGGGACUCUGCACUUUCAUGGCGGAGGGCAAAGGUACUUAAUCGAUAGAGUUUGUUGCAUACAUAAUUGGUAUUCUUGAUCGCCUCGAAGAAUAGCGCCCAGGAUGUUUGCUUUCUCUUCCAUGGGACUUAAAUUCUUGUGAAUUUUUUGCUGACUGCUCUUCCUUCUUCUCCUUCUCUUGUUCAUGUGCAGGAAUAAAAUCAGAAAGAAAGCACGUUGUUUGACUCGGAUUUCUCCUUUAGUCUAGGCCAGUGAUGUGUGUGGGGGAUCGCCGGAGUUGCUUCAUCUGCUCUUAUCGAGACGACGUUGUUCGUCCUUGACGCCGGAGGGCGUCGAUGUCGUCGAUGUCUCGGCCGCACGCCAGUGUUGUCGCUGUGUUUCUCUUGUUCUUCUCUGUGGCCUGUACUCUUGGUAGAGGCGUGCUGAUAACGUGUUAAGAGAAUCGAGAGAGAUGAGCGAAUGGAAACAUAUAUAUGAAUGAACCAUUAGUCUUUAUUGAUGAUAGAAGCGGGGUAUUUAUACCCGGGCGGAAGUACACAUGUUACUUGGGAGUCAAGUAAACUCAAAGUCACUUGGGAGCCAAGGAAUUACAUAGCUGCCUUGAGA
RNAcentral lists this long non-coding RNA (1079 nucleotides) under Triticum aestivum (bread wheat). Its description in RNAcentral is "long non-coding RNA (TAES_LNC017508)". Lineage: Eukaryota; Viridiplantae; Streptophyta; Magnoliopsida; Poales; Poaceae. The record is from RNAcentral.